GUGCUUGCUUCAGCAGGACAUAUACUAAAAAAUUGGAGAAAUACAGAGAAGAUUAGCAUGGCCCCUGCACAAGGAUGACACAUUCAUGAAGCAGUUUAUAUUUUG
Ictidomys tridecemlineatus (thirteen-lined ground squirrel) is the source of this 105-nucleotide small nuclear RNA. The record is from Ensembl. NCBI's taxonomy places the organism in Eukaryota, Metazoa, Chordata, Mammalia, Rodentia, Sciuridae.